This 362-nucleotide ribosomal RNA is filed under the name uncultured bacterium. Its description in RNAcentral is "bacterial SSU rRNA". It matches the Rfam family "Bacterial small subunit ribosomal RNA", at positions 29 to 418 of the family's 1533-position model. The record is from RNAcentral.
AACGAACGCUGGCGGCAGGCCUAAUACAUGCAAGUCGAACGCCGUAGCAAUACGGAGUGGCAGACGGGUGAGUAACGCGUGGGAACCUUCCUAAUGGUACGGAAUAGCCCGGGGAAACCCGGAGUAAUACCGUAUAAGCCCGUAAGGGGAAAGAUUUAUCGCCAUUAGAUGGGCCCGCGUCGGAUUAGCUAGUUGGUAGGGUAACGGCCUACCAAGGCUACGACCCGUAGCUGGUCUGAGAGGAUGAUCAGCCACACUGGGACUGAGACACGGCCCAGACUCCUACGGGAGGCAGCAGUAGGGAAUAUUGGACAAUGGGCGAAAGCCUGAUCCAGCCAUGCCGCGUGAGUGAUGAAGGCCUU